AAUCUUGCGCAAUGGGCGAAAGCCUGACGCAGCAACGCCGCGUGGGGGAUGAAGGCCUUCGGGUUGUAAACCCCUUUCAGGAGGGAAGAAAAUGACGGUACCUCCAGAAGAAGCCCCGGCCAACUACGUGCCAGCAGCCGCGGUAAUACGUAGGGGGCGAGCGUUGUCCGGAAUCAUUGGGCGUAAAGAGCUCGUAGGCGGCUCAGCAAGUCGGCUGUGAAAUCCCGAGGCUCAACCUCGGAACUGCAGUCGAUACUGCUGUGGCUAGAGUCUGGUAGAGGAGAGUGGAAUUCCCGGUGUAGCGGUGAGAUGCGCAGAUAUUAGGAGGAACACCAGUGGCGAAGGCGGCUUUCUGGACUGUAACUGACACUGAGGCAUGAAAGCGUGGGUAGCAAACAGG
Molecule: ribosomal RNA, 400 nt
Filed under: uncultured bacterium
Lineage: Bacteria
Description: partial 16S ribosomal RNA
Rfam family: Bacterial small subunit ribosomal RNA
Source: RNAcentral